This 263-nucleotide signal recognition particle RNA is filed under the name Microtus ochrogaster (prairie vole). RNAcentral describes it as "Metazoan signal recognition particle RNA (ENSMOCG00000012156.1)". It matches the Rfam family "Metazoan signal recognition particle RNA". From Rfam's summary of the family: The signal recognition particle (SRP) is a universally conserved ribonucleoprotein. It is involved in the co-translational targeting of proteins to membranes. Lineage: Eukaryota; Metazoa; Chordata; Mammalia; Rodentia; Cricetidae. The record is from RNAcentral.
GCCAGGUGUGGUGUUGCACUCCUGUAGUCCCAGCUAGAUGGGAGGAUUGCUUGAGUCCAGGAGUUCAGGGCUGAGGUGCACUAUGCCCAUUGGGUGUCGCAUCAAUAUGGUGACAUCCCUCGGGGGACCACCAGGUUGCCUAAGGAGGAUUGAACUGGCCCAGGUUGGAAUGGGAACAGGUCAAAACUGUGCUGAUGAGUGGUAGGACGUGCCUGUGAAUAGCCACUGCACUCCAACCUGGGCAACAGCGAGACCCCGUCUCU